Molecule: ribosomal RNA, 163 nt
Rfam family: 5.8S ribosomal RNA
About the family: 5.8S ribosomal RNA (5.8S rRNA) is a component of the large subunit of the eukaryotic ribosome.
AUAACGACUCUCGGCAACGGAUAUCUCGGCUCUCGCAUCGAUGAAGAACGCAGCGAAAUGCGAUACCUGGUGUGAAUUGCAGAAUCCCGUGAAUCAUCGAGUCUUUGAACGCAAGUUGCGCCUGAGACCAUUCGGUCGAGGGCACGCCUGCCUGGGCGUCACG